GUCGAACGAACCUUCGGGUUAGUGGCGGACGGGUGAGUAACGCGUGAGAAUCUGCCCUCAGGAGGGGGAUAACAGCUGGAAACGGCUGCUAAUACCCCAUAUGCCGCGAGGUGAAAUGAAUUUCGCCUGAGGAUGAGCUCGCGUCUGAUUAGCUAGUUGGUGUAGGUAAAGGCUCACCAAGGCAUCGAUCAGUAGCUGGUCUGAGAGGAUGAUCAGCCACACUGGGACUGAGACACGGCCCAGACUCCUACGGGAGGCAGCAGUGGGGAAUUUUCCGCAAUGGGCGAAAGCCUGACGGAGCAACGCCGCGUGAGGGAUGAAGGCCUCUGGGCUGUAAACCUCUUUUAUCAAGGAAGAAGAUCUGACGGUACUUGAUGAAUAAGCCACGGCUAAUUCCGUGCCAGCAGCCGCGGUAAUACGGGAGUGGCAAGCGUUAUCCGGAAUUAUUGGGCGUAAAGCGUCCGCAGGCGGCCCAGAAAGUCUGCUGUUAAAACGUGGAGCUUAACUCCAUCAUGGCAGUGGAAACUGUUGGGCUUGAGUGUGGUAGAGGCAGAGGGAAUUCCCGGUGUAGCGGUGAAACGCGUAGAUAUCGGGAAGAACACCAGUGGCGAAGGCGCUCUGCUGGGCCAUAACUGACGCUCAUGGACGAAAGCCAGGGGAGCGAAAGGGAUUAGAUACCCCUGUAGUCCUGGCCGUAAACGAUGAACACUAGGUGUCGGGGGAAUCUACCCCCUCGGUGUCGUACCCAACGCGUUAAGUGUUCCGCCUGGGGAGUACGCA
Molecule: ribosomal RNA, 780 nt
Filed under: uncultured marine bacterium
Lineage: Bacteria
Description: bacterial SSU rRNA
Rfam family: Bacterial small subunit ribosomal RNA
Source: RNAcentral